This 26-nucleotide small nuclear RNA is filed under the name Arabidopsis thaliana (thale cress). RNAcentral describes it as "snRNA_16616". The record is from RNAcentral. Lineage: Eukaryota; Viridiplantae; Streptophyta; Magnoliopsida; Brassicales; Brassicaceae.
AGACUUUGUCAGAGGGAUUCCUCAAG